AAUGCCCGCAAGGGUGAUCCAGCCAUCCCGCGUGCAGGAAGAAUGCCCUAUGGGUUGUAAACUGCUUUUGUAAGGGAAGAAACCCCCUGAUGCGUUAGGGGUUGACGGUACCUUAAGAAUAAGCACCGGCUAACUCCGUGCCAGCAGCCGCGGUAAUACGGAGGGUGCAAGCGUUAUCCGGAAUCACUGGGUUUAAAGGGUGCGUAGGCGGCUAAAUAAGUCAGAGGUGAAAUGCUACGGCUUAACUGUGGAAUUGCCUUUGAAACUAUAUAGCUAGAAUAGAGUUGAGGUUGGCGGAAUGUGACAUGUAGCGGUGAAAUGCAUAGAUAUGCCAUAGAAUACCGAUUGCGAAGGCAGCUGACUAGACCUAUAUUGACGCUGAGGCACGAAAGCGUGGGGAGCGAA
Molecule: ribosomal RNA, 405 nt
Filed under: uncultured bacterium
Lineage: Bacteria
Description: bacterial SSU rRNA
Rfam family: Bacterial small subunit ribosomal RNA
Source: RNAcentral